RNAcentral lists this transfer RNA (68 nucleotides) under Ophiophagus hannah (king cobra). It matches the Rfam family "tRNA". From Rfam's summary of the family: Transfer RNA (tRNA) molecules are approximately 80 nucleotides in length. Their secondary structure includes four short double-helical elements and three loops (D, anti-codon, and T loops). The record is from Rfam by way of RNAcentral. Lineage: Eukaryota; Metazoa; Chordata; Lepidosauria; Squamata; Elapidae.
GCCAGUCUAGUAGUUAAGGCACCAGGCUACAAACCAGGAGACUGUGAGUUCUAAUCUCACUUUAGGCA